CCUACGGGAGGCAGCAGUGAGGAAUAUUGGUCAAUGGUCGGGAGACUGAACCAGCCAAGCCGCGUGAGGGAUGAAGGUACAGAGUAUCGUAAACCUCUUUUGUCAGGGAACAAAGGCGGGGACGCGUCCCCGGAUGAGUGUACCUGAAGAAAAAGCAUCGGCUAACGCCGUGCCAGCAGCCGCGGUAAUACGGAGGAUGCGAGCGUGAUCAGGAUUUAUUGGGUUUAAAGGGGGCGCAGGCGGUCUGUUAAGUCAGCGGUAAAAGCCCGGGGCUCAACCCCGGCCCGCCGUUGAAACUGGCAGUCUCGAGUUGGAGAGAAGUAUGCGGAAUGCGCGGUGUAGCGGUGAAAUGCAUAGAUAUCGCGCAGAACUCCGAUUGCGAAGGCAGCAUGCCGGCUCCACACUGACGCUGAGGCACGAAAGCGUGGGUAUCGAACAGGAUUAGAUACCCUAGUAGUC
Molecule: ribosomal RNA, 459 nt
Filed under: uncultured bacterium
Lineage: Bacteria
Description: partial 16S ribosomal RNA
Rfam family: Bacterial small subunit ribosomal RNA
Source: RNAcentral